GACAUCAUAUGGGUAUUAGGAAUGAUAAGAAGUGUUCCAUGCAUGUAUAGCCCAUUUGGAGGAAUAUAACCCCUUGAUUAAAAUAGACAUUGGCGAUAAUUAAGACAAGGUUGUAAAAGAUAUAGAAAUUUGUUUAUCUUUCAAUGACCGUUCGAGUUUAUAAUAAUUGUCUGUUUCCACCUGAUGUUUUUGUGUUACUACGAUAGAGAAAUUCCAUUAUAGUUCGUCGGUGGAUAUGAAAACUCAAAAGUUGCAGAAGAGAAAAGUAUCUUGAGGGAAAUCCGUCGUGACCUGAAACUUUAACGUGAUAUUCAUUUUGAUAUGAAAAAGGAACCUAAUAUCAGGAUUUCUUGGCCUGUGACAACCACAAGAAGGGUGACCAUGGACCCCGGAUGCCCCGCGUAUGAUAACACUUCUUAGUAUGGCGUACCGGCCACUGUCGGACGGACGAUUCUGUAGGUGAGGGUGCGCGUCGGUUUCCCACGUGUAUUUCCCGCAUUUACUCCCGAGUCUUCGAAUUGGACGGACUGUAAAGCACAAGUGAGUGAAGUGAAGAGCAUAGGAAAUUACGAUUGAUAUGGAGAGUACACGCUGAAAUAAUAAAUCAUGAUAUUUGUUUGUCAUCAUGAUCUUUGAAAUAAAACACCUUAAAAAGUGUUGCAAUAGUUCUUAUUUGUGUCUUCGGAAAAUAACUUCUUUUUUCGUUUUGGAAAAAUUACAUAAUGUCAGUUAAAGGAUAGCUUUUCUUAUAUCUGUAAAAAAAAAAAAAAAAAAAAAAAAAAAAAAAAAAAAAAAAAAAAAAAAAAAAAAACAAUAAUAAUAAUAAUAAUAAUACGGCAACAAUUACUGUCACAGUGAACAGGGAAAUCUACCAUUGUGUUCCAGUGUCAGUGAAAUAAUGGGAGAACCUCAGUCAAGCAAACAAUGCAGACCACUCAGAAGUAAACACUGUGAUGAUGGAGUCAUUGAUUUAUAAUAAUUCAGGCGUUUGAGGAUCAAGCUGAAAGAUAUCCUACUGUAUUCUACUCAGGAAAUGUAAUGGAAUGUACUUACCAAAACCUAAGACACUAAUAGAAGAGUGAAUAUCGUAUCUGCUCAUAUCCUGUGCCAUACACAACCUGCCACGAAGAUUUUGGCUCGAUUUGACCUGCGACAGACGAUGGAGUGCGAAGCUGCGUUUCCUCAGCCUUACUGCUCUGGCCUGGUGGCUGGUAUAGACUUGGGCAACGUCAUCGAAUUUUCACCAAGGACAGCAGAGUUCGAAAAUUCAUUUAAAGAUAAGGUAUCAUUGGAAGAGACACCCCACACCUACAAAAACAAAAUCUGAGCUUACCAAACAGUAGAACACAUUCUAUGAAAGGUUUCUUCUAUAGUAAUUUCUUCACAAAAUGAUAACAACGGAAAUAAAGGUGUAAAAUCCAGAAAAUGAAGCAACCUUACGCCUCGAGCGCCGCAAAAAAAUUACAAAAAGUCGUUGAAAGCGACGAUAUAUCGGACGGAUACGUAGCGCAUGACGUAAGCGAGGGAAAUCAAAUGAGCCAAUUAGAUUUGCGCUGGAACGUGGCGUGACCAUAGGCAGUGACGUCCAGCUCAAUGGAACCAAUCAUAUUAAAAAUAGAUCAUCACGUGACAAUAGAAGCUGGGCCUAGGAGAAGGCAGUUCCAUCAUGGCUAAGCAGUGUGUCGGGUGUGUAAAUAAUUACUUCGACCUCAUUGCGGAAAUAUUCCCUCCGCUUUCCGAUAAGGGACGUCGGAUAGCGAUCACGAUUCCCGCUAGCAACGACCAGGACGACCCCGACGAUCCCAGUGACCCGAAGCCUGGCCUGUCUGGAGUUAAUGCUUAAGGUAAGGUGUGGGUAAAACUGUUACUGGGUCUGGGCUCUCUCCUGCCGGAACAUAUGAAAAAAAUGGGAUUUAAGGGGGCGAAGCCUCCUCUAUAAUCUGGAAGCUAGUGGAUAUAUUCCCUCCCGUGUAUUACCGAUAUUUUUCGAAAUUUCCCCCCCAAAUUCCUUUAUAUGUAUCAUGCCCUCCCCAGCUAUCGUAGCUGUGCUUCGUUUGCGGAGGAAAUGAGUGCUUGAUUCGGUCGAAACACGAAGAAAACUAUUGGAAAAAAUAUAUAUCGUUCAUCGGAAAAUCGGUGUGGGGCGUCUCCUCCAAAUUUCCCAAAGAUAAACAUUAUCACAAAUUUUUGACAGUCACCCAGUUGCCAUCAUCAGGCUGAAACAGAGAAUAGUUUUAAAUAGUAUACAUACUCCAUACGGGAUAUAUCCUUCAAAUAAUCCGAGGGUCUGACAACGCCUGUUUUCGAAUCGACUUAAAAGGGGCUGUAUUGCUUUGAACAAUGCACAUUCAAGUAGUCCCCAUAAUACUUGCCAUAGAAUCUAAGUACUGCAAGUCAACCACAUUUGUUCCUGGCCUUUAAACUUUUCGUCUGAUCAGGUGGUGUUCGCAGUUGUUGCCAGCUUGUGCUGCUGCUCCUCGCGAAU
Molecule: long non-coding RNA, 2485 nt
Organism: Penaeus chinensis
Lineage: Eukaryota; Metazoa; Arthropoda; Malacostraca; Decapoda; Penaeidae
Exons: 3
Source: RefSeq, a predicted model, not a curated record